This is a long non-coding RNA of Ctenocephalides felis (cat flea), 874 nucleotides long. RefSeq lists it as uncharacterized. The transcript has 4 exons. The record is from RefSeq and is a predicted model, not a curated record. Lineage: Eukaryota; Metazoa; Arthropoda; Insecta; Siphonaptera; Pulicidae.
UGCAUAUGAUAUUAUAUAAACCAUUGAUUGAUAAUAUGGAAUACGAUCGAGGCACCAAUACAUGUAUGUAAGAACUUCAUCUUCUAUCAAAGAGGACCAUUGUUAGUUUUUUAGUUCAUUACUGAAUGCCAAGCUAAGCGGUCGUUAUGUGUUUAAUAGGAAGUGCGAAAAUUACGAAAUAUUAUUACGAUAUAUUUUUAUUUGUUUUAAAAGAACGUCGUGUAAUUAUCGUUUAAUAAUCAGUGGAAAAGUAGUGUAUUGUGUUGUUUUAUUUCUCAAUGAUACAAGUGAAAAUAGAGUAUCGAUGUAGUGCCGGUGGAUUGGUUGAUAUAUAAUGAAGGAUAAGAUAAAUUCGAAUGCCCAUUUUUAAAUAAUUAUGAGCUAUCGGGAGAAAAUUUACUUCUUCUUCAAGAUUUGGUGAAGCGUCGGGCGGCACCAGCAUCGGAUAAUUGGAGUCUUCAUGAGGUGGAUGUACGAGAUUACGCGAAUACAUAUUAAAUUGCCUUGGAAAAGUUAAAAAUAUUGCAACAAAAGGAAUAUGCGUUUUCUACGGACAAUGAAGAAACCAUAAACAGAAGGCAAGAUGUUCUGAAAAAACAAUACCGCUUGAAUAAAGGGCGUUUUGUAAAUCAGAAUAACGUCGAUCAGCAGUUGUCGGAAUGUAACAUAAAUUUAGGCAAUAAGUCGCGCAAUGCUUCAAUGUUUAAUGUCUUAAAGACAGUGAACUUGUGAAGUGUUUAUAUGGUAUAAUGACAACUGAAUCAAUUAAAAAUCCGCAGUUGAGCCCUAUUAAAGAGCAAGCAUUUAACCAAGCCCUCGGGAAGGUUAUAAAUUAUUCCCGUGAUUGGGAGAAUGGGAGAGAUCAUAGGCGGAC